UACGGAGGGUGCAAGCGUUGCUCGGAAUUAUUGGGCGUAAAGCGCACGUAGGCGGUAUCGUAAGUCAGAUGUGAAACUCCUGGGCUCAACUUGGGAACUGCAUCUGAUACUGCGAAACUAGAGUACGGGAGAGGGGAGUGGAAUUCCCAGUGUAGAGGUGAAAUUCGUAGAGAUUGGGAGGAACACCGGAGGCGAAGGCGGCUCCCUGGUCCGAUACUGACGCUCAGGUGCGAAAGCGUGGGGAGCAAACAGG
This 253-nucleotide ribosomal RNA is filed under the name uncultured bacterium. RNAcentral describes it as "partial 16S ribosomal RNA". It matches the Rfam family "Bacterial small subunit ribosomal RNA", at positions 524 to 776 of the family's 1533-position model. The record is from RNAcentral.